Molecule: ribosomal RNA, 492 nt
Filed under: uncultured bacterium
Lineage: Bacteria
Description: partial 16S ribosomal RNA
Rfam family: Bacterial small subunit ribosomal RNA
Source: RNAcentral
AGUGAACGCUGGCGGUAGGCCUAACACAUGCAAGUCGAACGGCAGCACAGUAAGAGCUUGCUCUUACGGGUGGCGAGUGGCGGACGGGUGAGGAAUACAUCGGAAUCUACUUUUUCGUGGGGGAUAACGUAGGGAAACUUACGCUAAUACCGCAUACGACCUACGGGUGAAAGCAGGGGAUCUUCGGACCUUGCGCGAUUGAAUGAGCCGAUGUCGGAUUAGCUAGUUGGCGGGGUAAAGGCCCACCAAGGCAACGAUCCGUAGCUGGUCUGAGAGGAUGAUCGGCCACACUGGAACUGAGACACGGUCCAGACUCCUACGGGAGGCAGCAGUGGGGAAUAUUGGACAAUGGGCGCAAGCCUGAUCCAGCCAUACCGCGUGGGUGAAGAAGGCCUUCGGAUUGUAAAGCCCUUUUGUUGGGAAAGAACAUCAGCAGGUUAAUACCCCGCCGUUCUGACGGUACCCAAAGAAUAAGCACCGGCUAACUUCGUG